ACUAUAGUUAAUCAAUCUCGCCUCACAGAUUGUCAGCUCUCUUAUCAAUGACAGAUCUGCUAUGAACAACAGAAUGAGCUUAUAGGCUUAGCUGAAAAGUUACUUUCCCAGCUCUGCUGAUACCAGAAAAAGUUCAUAGUACAGCACAUGCUUUUUAUUUUUUCCGGGGACCCAGACCCAGAGUAUGGAAGUGUAGCUUUUGAAUGUAUGAAUGAUCAUUUGUCUGUGUGCAGCCUUUUCUGGACUGCAACGCGCUGUGCGAUGUCUGUUUCUUUGAGCUCCACCCAAGCCCCUUUUUUUCUCUUUUUUCUUUGAGAUUCCAGGAAGUGACCCUCACAUUUCUUUGUCCAAAGGCCCUACUGAUGAAUGGAAAGAUUUGGGUUCCUGGACUAGAGCGUGCAACCAUGCUCUGGAUUGGAUGGCAUUGCCUGGCAGUUUGAUUUUAUUUGAUUUUAUUUUUUUAUUUUUUCCUCACUACAGGCCAGGCCAUGAGAUGCCACACCCCUAUCUUUUGGUUUUGGAUGCUUCCAUUCUUGAACUGGACGGUGUUCCUGAUUGUGUUUGAGCCAAGCAUAAAUUUGAUGUUGGUCUCAUACAGAAUUGUGAACUUUUGGUUGUAAACACUAAAUCUCACUUCAGACCCCAGCAGGCUCAGUACCCCUUGAAGCCUCAGGCAAUUGCGGGCAUCACCCCAGUUUUUAACUCAUUUUUGGAAGCAGGUAUAGUCAUCCCCUGUGAUGGUUCCCCUGUUAACACCCCGAAUUUGCCCGUUAAGAAGUAUCGCCCUCCUCCAUUAGAGAAAAAAAAAAAUAAAUAAAUAAAGAGAGAGAGAAAAAGUCACGUUCCUUGGAGAUGUUGUCAGUGCAGAAGGUAAAAGCCUUUCCUCCAAGCAUCUCACUGCAACCAACAGGCGCCGAGACCGGAGACUGUUAAGCAACUCCUGUCUUUCGUUGGGUUGUGCUCAUACUGCAGGAUUUCUGUUCCAAACUUUUCAGAGAUAACCAGGCCCCUAUAGCACUGAAACUUGCUCUCCAAUCACCUCCCACUUUAGGCCUACUGGAUCCAUUCAAGCCAUUCACUCAGACUGCGGAUGAGGGAGGGGGAGCUGCGUGGCCUCUGUCCUCCUCCAGGAUCAUGGUGGAACUCUCGGACCAGUGGCUUAUUUCUCCUGUAAGCUUGAUCCUGUUGCUGCUGGACUUCCUCGCUGCCCGAGUGCCAUUGCUGCUGCAGAGAGGGCCCAGCAGCAUCCAGAGAUCUUGUGGGCUAUUCUGACAUUGCUGGUCCUCCGUGAAGUCCACC
Long non-coding RNA from Oryzias melastigma (Indian medaka), 1299 nucleotides. RefSeq lists it as uncharacterized. The transcript has 2 exons. Lineage: Eukaryota; Metazoa; Chordata; Actinopteri; Beloniformes; Adrianichthyidae. The record is from RefSeq and is a predicted model, not a curated record.